CCUACGGGUGGCAGCAGUCGAGAAUCAUUCACAAUGGGGGAAACCCUGAUGGGGCGACGCCGCGUGGGGGAAUGAAGGUCUGCGGAGGGUAAACCCCUGUCAUGGGGGAGCAAAGUAAAAAGAUAGUACCACAAGAGGAAGAGACGGCUAACUCGGUGCCAGCAGCCGCGGUAAUACAGAGGUCUCAAGCGUUGGGCGGAAUCACUGGGCGUAAAGGGUGCGUAGGCUGUUUCGUAAGUCGUGUGUGAAAGGCGCGGGCGCAACCCGCGGACGGCCCCUGAUACUGCGAGCCUAGAGUAAUGGAGGGGGAACCGGAAUUCUCGGUGUCGCCGU
This 333-nucleotide ribosomal RNA is filed under the name uncultured bacterium. RNAcentral describes it as "partial 16S ribosomal RNA". It matches the Rfam family "Bacterial small subunit ribosomal RNA", at positions 338 to 682 of the family's 1533-position model. The record is from RNAcentral.